CAUUAUGGCAUUUGAUGACAUCUUCAGGAGAGGAGAGAGUCCAACCUGAUGGGAACGCAUCAUUUCCUGGAGAUGGGCAAACGCCACAGGAACCAAGGGUGGGGGUCUGUCCUGCUGCCCAGGACCCCAAGCCAUCUCGAUUGGGAAAUAAAAUUAAGUUCUAUUGAAUAUUUAGAGAGCACCACUCGUUGAAUUGUAUUGUUAACAACAAGGGAGAUCCCCAGUGCAAGGAUUUUCAAAGGCUGCAUCAGAGUUGAAUUCAGGAGCUUGAAGCUUGCAAGUCUGUUCUCUGGGAGCCUGAGAUUUGAGUUGGAAGCCUGGCUGUUACAAGUCUGUUGGGCUAGUGACAGUCUCCAUGUUUCAACCUCAUCUGUAAAAUGUGGAAGAUAGAAUGACCUGCCUCUCAGGGUUGUUAUAAGAAUUAAAGGAGUUAGUGCAUAUAAAGUGCUUCACUCAAAAAAUACUUGCUUCAUUUCCGCAUCUGUAGAAUGAGGACAACAAAAAUGCCCACCUCGGAGGGUACGCUGUAAGAACUACAGGAAGUGUUUAAGGUGACGUGCAAGCAACUGAACAAGAGCCGGAGGUCCCUCUGAAACCUGAUGGGUCAGGUGCUGGGUCUUCAGGAGGAGAAACCGGACCCACCCCUUGCCCAGGCUGCCUCUUUUGUUCUUUCUCAAGAAUCCCGGGAUCGAUAAUUGAAGGAAGCCAUCUCCCAUCCAGCACGGGUUUUCGCCUUCUCACAGAUAAGAGAUUAUUUCCUGGGUCUAUUGAUUUUGAGAUUCUUGAGAACAGAGUGAGUGUCCCUGUGUGUGGGAGUGUGUAUGUAGGAGAGUACACUUCAAGUACACUUGAAACUACAGUCAUGCACAGUGGUCUGUUUUUCAUAUAUGCCUCACAAGCAUCAACUCCAGGUGAAAAUUUCAGUGCUCAAAACUGCUAAGAUCAAAGACUCCUUGUUACUUAAUAAUCACAGUAAAGCCCCUGCCCACGUGGUUAAUGGAAGCACGUCAUCCUACCAGCCUGUUAAAAAUGAUAUAGACGAAGUAUAGAA
Molecule: long non-coding RNA, 1051 nt
Filed under: Vulpes vulpes (red fox)
Lineage: Eukaryota; Metazoa; Chordata; Mammalia; Carnivora; Canidae
Description: lncRNA (ENSVVUG00000020780.1)
Source: RNAcentral